Molecule: ribosomal RNA, 429 nt
Filed under: Gemmatimonadota bacterium
Lineage: Bacteria; Pseudomonadati; Gemmatimonadota
Description: Gemmatimonadetes bacterium partial 16S ribosomal RNA
Rfam family: Bacterial small subunit ribosomal RNA
Source: RNAcentral
UAGGGAAUCUUCGGCAAUGGACGAAAGUCUGACCGAGCAACGCCGCGUGAGUGAAGAAGGUUUUCGGAUCGUAAAACUCUGUUGUUAGAGAAGAACAAGGACGUUAGUAACUGAACGUCCCCUGACGGUAUCUAACCAGAAAGCCACGGCUAACUACGUGCCAGCAGCCGCGGUAAUACGUAGGUGGCAAGCGUUGUCCGGAUUUAUUGGGCGUAAAGCGAGCGCAGGCGGUUUCUUAAGUCUGAUGUGAAAGCCCCCGGCUCAACCGGGGAGGGUCAUUGGAAACUGGGGGUCUUGAGUGCAGAAGAGGAGAGUGGAAUUCCAUGUGUAGCGGUGAAAUGCGUAGAUAUAUGGAGGAACACCAGUGGCGAAGGCGGCUCUCUGGUCUGUAACUGACGCUGAGGCUCGAAAGCGUGGGGAGCAAACAGG